Molecule: long non-coding RNA, 483 nt
Filed under: Salmo salar (Atlantic salmon)
Lineage: Eukaryota; Metazoa; Chordata; Actinopteri; Salmoniformes; Salmonidae
Description: lncRNA (ENSSSAG00000094471.1)
Source: RNAcentral
CAGGACCAGAGUUAUAGUUAGGGCCUAUAGGGAGAAUAAAACUAGACCAGAGUUAUAGUUAUGGCCAAUAGGGAGAAUAUAACUAGACCAGGACCAGAGUUAUAGUUAGGGCCUAUAGGGAGAACAUAACUAGACCAGGACCAGAGUUAUAGUUAGGGCCUAUAGGGAGGAUAUAACUAGACCAGACCAGAGUUAUAGUUAGGGCCUAUAGGGAGGAUAUAACUAGACCAGAGUUAUAGUUAGGGCCUAUAGGGAGAAUAUAACUAGACCAGAGUUAUAGUUAGGGGCCAUAGGGAGAAUAUAACUAGACCAGGACCAGAGUUAUAGUUAGGGCCUAUAGGGAGAAUAUAACUAGACCAGAGUUAUAGUUAGGGCCUAUAGGGAGAAUAUAACUAGACCAGGACCAGAGUUAUAGUUAGGGUCUAUAGGGAGAAUAUAACUAGACCAGAGUUAUAGUUAGGGCCUAUAGGGAGAAAAUAACUA